UGGCUCUCACUGCUCCCUUCCUCCUGCCAGACCUCGGCCUUCUCUGGGUCCCUGUGUCACAAGCUCAGCCCUCUGCCCGCUGGGAAGGGCCUGGUCUGGGCUCCGAGCUGGUCAGGUGGGCAAGGCUGCAGUCCAAGUCACCAAGCAGAGGGAGGCUGGGCUCACUGAGCAGCUGGUGUGUGCUCAGUAAUCAUCCAGUCUGCAAGGAGGAGGGGGGGCUGUCCCCCAUCCUGUGUCAGGAGAGAACAGGAAGCAGCAGCUGGCAAGGUCACAAUUGGAGCCUGCCCACAUGGAAUUCACAUCCCUCUCUGAAUCUAAAUGUGCCUGGUGCCAUGGAGAAGGCAGCAGUGCCUACCUCUCAGGAGAAUCCGUCAGAUGAAGGGGUCUGCAAGCCCAGCUCUCUGAGAGCUAAAAUCAGAUCUUUCCCAAAAACCUGAAAGCAACAACAACAAAAAAGCUAACAGAGGAAUGAACAAAAGACGACUUGGAGAGGAGUGCUUCUGAACCAGUGCCAGAUGAUGAGGAAAAAGACAUAGAAGAGCCAGUGCCACAAAACAAUGGACAUUAGACAUUCUGACCGAAGAGUUCUGAUUAUUCAAUACUGUUUUACUUCUUUUACAACAUGGACCUGUCUAUGAUAUGAGCCCUGAGACUAAAGCAAACAGUGGAAGAAGACUUGGUACCAUAUAGAGACAUUUUUAGAGAAAUGUAAAAGCAAAAAAGUGAGACAAAAAUUACAAUAUAUUUACAUAAAUUUACACCAAGUGUCCUUGCUUCUCCUGCCCCUUUUCCUCCUCCUCUACUUCUACUUCUGCCACCCCUGAGACAACAAGACCCACCCCUCCUCUUCCUCCUCCCUGUCAGCCUACUCAGUGUGAAGACCAUGAGGAUGAAGACCUUUAUGGUGAUUCACUUCCACUUAAUGAAUCUUAAAUCUAUAUUUUUCUUCCUUAUGAUUUACCUAGUAACAUUUCUUUUCUCUAGCUUACUGUAUUGUAAGAACACAGUAUAUAACACAUAUAAAACCCACAAUAUGUAUUAAUUGACUAUGUUAUCAGUAAGGCUUCUGAUCAACAGUAGGCUAUUAGUGAUUAAGUUUUCAGGGAGUCAAAAGUUAUAUUCGGAUUUUCAACUCUACAGGGGUCAGCAUCCCUAGUCCCCACAUUGUUUGAAGUUCAACUGCAA
RNAcentral lists this long non-coding RNA (1185 nucleotides) under Macaca fascicularis (crab-eating macaque). Its description in RNAcentral is "lncRNA (ENSMFAG00000061130.1)". The record is from RNAcentral. Lineage: Eukaryota; Metazoa; Chordata; Mammalia; Primates; Cercopithecidae.